CCUACGGGUGGCAGCAGUGAGGAAUAUUGGUCAAUGGACGAAAGUCUGAACCAGCCAAGUAGCGUGCAUGAUGACGGCCCUCGGGGUUGUAAACUGCUUUUAGUUGGGAAUAAAAGGUUGCUCGUGACCACCGUGUUGUGGGUACCAUCAGACAAGGGACCGACGAAUUACGUGCCAGAAGCCGCGGUAAUACGUAGGGUGCGGGAGUUAUCCGGGUUUAUUGGGUUUAAAGGGAGCGUAGGCGGUCUUGUAAGUCAGCUGUGAAAGCCCGAGGCUCAACCGUGGAACUGCAGUUGAAACUGGAGGUCUGGAGUGCAGAAAGGGAUGGCGGAAUUCAUGGUGUAGAGGUGAAAUGCUUAGAUAUCAUGAAGAACUCCGAUGGCGAAGGCAAGUGUCUGGGGUGCAACUGACGCUGAGGCUCGAAAGUGUGGGGAGCAAACAGGAUUAGAUACCCGGGUAGUC
RNAcentral lists this ribosomal RNA (462 nucleotides) under uncultured bacterium. Its description in RNAcentral is "partial 16S ribosomal RNA". It matches the Rfam family "Bacterial small subunit ribosomal RNA", at positions 338 to 795 of the family's 1533-position model. The record is from RNAcentral.